GCUUACACAUGCAGUCGAGCGGAGUGAUGGUGCUUGCACUAUCACUUACGGCGGACGGGUGAGUAAUGCUUAGGAAUCUGCCUAUUAGUGGGGGACAACAUUUCAAAAGGAAUGCUAAUACCGCAUACGUCCUACGGGAGAAAGCAGGGGAUCUUCAGACCUUGCGCUACUAAAUGAGCCCAAAUCUAAUUACCUACUUGGAGGGGGAAAG
This 211-nucleotide ribosomal RNA is filed under the name Acinetobacter sp. 3AR17. RNAcentral describes it as "partial 16S ribosomal RNA". It matches the Rfam family "Bacterial small subunit ribosomal RNA", at positions 48 to 262 of the family's 1533-position model. Lineage: Bacteria; Pseudomonadati; Pseudomonadota; Gammaproteobacteria; Moraxellales; Moraxellaceae. The record is from RNAcentral.